This 1993-nucleotide long non-coding RNA is filed under the name Strigops habroptila (Kakapo). RNAcentral describes it as "lncRNA (ENSSHBG00005003727.1)". The record is from RNAcentral. Lineage: Eukaryota; Metazoa; Chordata; Aves; Psittaciformes; Psittacidae.
GGGACUCAGGUAUCAGUCAGUCUGCUGCUGUUGUUUAAGCCCCAUGCUGUUCAAACACAACAGAAACCAUGUUUGUCUGUAACUGUCAUCUCUUCUUUUCCUCUCCUGCACUUUCUGAAUGCAAGUUUUGGGAGGAAUCAUUGCCAAGAGAUUCUCAGUUCUGUUGCCCAGAGGGUUGUUAGACCUCUACACACCAUGGAAAUAUACCCAGGAACAUACUAAGCACUGACUUAGGCAAGCCAAACAUAGGCUGAGAGGAUUCCCCCAGCCAGAACUCCAGACCAUUUCAGGGAGGCAAUCAGUCAAGACCUCAUUAAAGUGGCACAGAUCCCAAUUAAGAUAAACAUUUAAUAGGGAGUAUCUUCCACACAUGAAAGGAAGAGUUUAUCUAGACAAGUCGUCAAUAGGAAGCUCUGAUAGAGAAAACUACUGACUACUCUUAUGAAGUUUAUUAAACUCAUCACUGUGUACCUUAAGUUUAAAAAACUGAGGUCCAAUUUUUUUACAGGUAUUCCUGUUUAUCUUCUGAUGUCUGGAUAUUACAGCCACAUUCAUGACUGAGAUCUCCAAUGAUAACCUCUAAUUCUGUUUUCUACAUUAAAGCUGUCAUUCUUCUAUAGCAAACCAGUUUUCUAAUAUUGUGUGAUACUAAAAUAAUAUUGUCUGUAGUAUGCAGCAAGAUUUCAAGUUUUGGAUAAUCUGAAAAUCUAGAGAUUUUCUAAUACAGUUUGUACAAAGGAUUGCCCUUCCUGGAAAAGCUGUAGCUUGCAUGCACAUAAUAUAGUCAUCUGGAGAACAUCACCUAUCAUCAGCCAUGAAGAGAUGGGAUGGUGAUGGAAUGCUGUAGUAAUCAGAAGAAAUGUCUUCAGUGACAACACUGAAGAUGCCAUAAGCAAAAGGAUUUCAGCAGCUCUCUGCAAUUGAUCAAGGAAAUAACCAGCUCAUCAGGUAUCUUGUAGAUUCAAAUACUCUCUAAGUGAAAAUACAGACUGACUAAGUGAAAAUACAGACUGAAGCAUGCCACAUGUAGCCUGCUGUGACUUCCUUUCAAGUUUCCUUUCUGUACUAAGAGGGUGGGAACGAUUCCCUCAAGCUUUUACACCAGUCAUUGAAUCUGAGCACUGCUGAGCCUGCAGAAGGAUUUGUUCCAGUUCAAAGUCAGACUGGAACGCUAAACUGCCUUAAUUGAUUUCUUGCUUAUCACAUCCUCUUGAACAUAGUGAACAUUUUCUUGCUGCAGAGAUGAUGAAUUCACUCUAAUAAAGCAUUAUUUUCUGCAAUUAUCAGAAAGUCAGGAUGAACAACAGGAAGAUCUGGAAAGUUUGCCCCUUUUCUGGGAGUUUGCUUGUAAGUGUGGUUACACGUGACUCGCAUGGUUGUGUGUGCAUCAUUUGAUGGCCUUUUAUUCUUUCCUGAAAAUAUAAAAAAAAUGUAAAUGAGAUCUGCAUGGGACAGGAAGUCCCUUAAUAAACCAAAGAAAUCAAAGAACUUAGCUUGCCUUCAAAAAAAGAAUUCCUCAGCCUCUAUGGUAAUUUGAGAAACUGGAUGAAGUAAAUAAGAGAUUCGCAGCAUUUUUGAAGUCCUGGUACUACUGCAUUUCAUAUUGUUACAGCGUAAUCUGACAUGGCCUUUAAGAGUAUAGCAAUACUUACUGUUCUUCAUCAUUCUGUUUAGCUAACAGUCUAACUUCUUGCCACCCCACUUUUGAGUUCAAGUUACUUGGUCAUGCUAACACUCAGCUGGCUGAAAAGAAGCUCAAUUUCUAGUAUACGGGAGGAGAGAAGAAAAUACAAGGCAAGGGCAAAAGAAAGGGGAGGAAGAGAAACAAACUGAUCUGUUUGUUGUUGGGGUAGUAAGAACUGCAAAGUAAGUAUAUAAUACAGAGGUGAAAGGUAGAAAAACAAAAGAAACUAUAUGAGGUACAUCAGAGAAGAGAAACAAAAGGAAGAAAAGUGUAGGGGAAAAGCAUCUAAACUGAAAAAAAGAAAGAAAA